This 253-nucleotide ribosomal RNA is filed under the name uncultured bacterium. Its description in RNAcentral is "partial 16S ribosomal RNA". It matches the Rfam family "Bacterial small subunit ribosomal RNA", at positions 524 to 776 of the family's 1533-position model. The record is from RNAcentral.
UACGAAGGGGGCUAGCGUUGUUCGGAAUUACUGGGCGUAAAGCGUAUGCAGGCGGAUCGUUAAGUCGGGGGUGAAAUCCCGAGGCUCAACCUCGGAACUGCCUUCGAUACUGGCGAUCUUGAGUCCGGGAGAGGUGAGUGGAACUCCGAGUGUAGAGGUGAAAUUCGUAGAUAUUCGGAAGAGCACCAGUGGCGAAGGCGGCUCACUGGCCCGGUACUGACGCUGAGGUGCGAAAGCGUGGGGAGCAAACAGG